RNAcentral lists this long non-coding RNA (710 nucleotides) under Homo sapiens (human). Its description in RNAcentral is "HSALNT0296565". Lineage: Eukaryota; Metazoa; Chordata; Mammalia; Primates; Hominidae. The record is from RNAcentral.
UCUGAUUGGUUGCAGCGGAAAACCUUUCGCUUUUUCUUCUCUUCAGCAAGAAUUUCGCCGCUUGCCGGGUUCCUCACUUUAAGUGUGCUUCGUUGCUUUUCGUUCUGUUGGUUUCGAACUUUGGGUUCUCUGCGAUGGAGUCGGAAGGGAGGAGUUGUCCCCAUUAGAGGAGCACCCACAGACGCUCCAAGUCCUGGGGUUCACCUAAAGUGGGGAAGGCAGUCGCUUACACUCACCUAAGAAGAGCAAAAAGUGACCACUUCUCAAUACUAAGUAACGGGGCAGCAUGCCCAUUCCAAGUGUUUACGCCGCUGAGGGGACGGAGGCUGCAAUGGGAGGUGAUGUGAUAUUAGAGUGUGUCAGUCUGUAAUUGGACCUGCAUGAAAUGAUAUUCAAGCAAGAAACCAAUACAGAUUCUCAGCCUUAAUCUUGAAAAAAAAAAUCACCAAAUGAAUCUCUCACUUCCUGAAGCCUAACAGAUGAUUACUGUGCUGGAGAACUAAUUUGCCUACUGAAUGAACAGUUUAUCUUGGAGAAGAAAUUGGUCACCAGAGAACCAGGAAACCCAAAAGAACCUUCUGAGGUCAUCAGAACAUAUAGUAUCUGAAUGUCAAUGCUGCUCAUUGACUCUGAUAAAAUGAAGACAGUGCAGUCAGUGGAAGAGACACAAAGUAUGGUAUCAGAAAAGACCUGAACUAGAAUGCUAGAAC